CGUGUAGGCGGUCAGGUUAGUGGGACGUGAAAUGCCCCGGCUCACCCGGGGACCUGCGUCCCAAACUGCCUGGCUUGAGUAUGGGGGAGGAUGAGGGAAUUCCUGGUGUAGCGGUGAAAUGCGUAGAUAUCAGGAGGAACACCGGUGGCGAAGGCGCUCAUCUGGCCCAAUACUGACGCUGAGGCGCGAAAGCUAGGGGAGCAAACGGGAUUAGAUACCCCGGUAGUCCUAGCCGUAAACGGUGAUCACUAGGUGUUGGAGGCAUAGACCCCUCCAGUGCCGUAGCUAACGCACUAAGUGAUCCGCCUGGGGAGUACGGCCGCAAGGUUGAA
Molecule: ribosomal RNA, 332 nt
Filed under: uncultured bacterium
Lineage: Bacteria
Description: bacterial SSU rRNA
Rfam family: Bacterial small subunit ribosomal RNA
Source: RNAcentral